GAUGAACGCUAGCGGCAGGCCUAAUACAUGCAAGUCGAACGGUAAGGCCCUUUCGGGGGUACACGAGUGGCGGACGGGUGCGUAACGCGUAUGCAACAUGCCUUCCGAGCGGGGGGAUAUACCAGGGAAACUUGGCGCAAUACCCCAUAGAAUUACGGGACCGCAUGGUCUUGUGAUUAAAACUCCGGUGCUGGGAGAUUGGCAUGCGUGACAUUAGCUAGUUGGCGGGGUAACGGCCCACCAAGGCGACGAUGUCUAGCUGGUCUGAGAGGAUGAUCAGCCACACUGGGACUGAGACACGGCCCAGACUCCUACGGGAGGCAGCAGUAGGGAAUAUUGGACAAUAGGGGGAACCGGUACGAUCCACGCCACUGCCGCGUGAGGGAAGGAAGGUACCGUCU
Molecule: ribosomal RNA, 401 nt
Filed under: uncultured bacterium
Lineage: Bacteria
Description: bacterial SSU rRNA
Rfam family: Bacterial small subunit ribosomal RNA
Source: RNAcentral